AAAAAGGGUGCUCGCUACUUCGAUAGCGCGUCAGUCUAAUUAAAUUGGAUUGGCGGGGUAUGGCUAUCAAGACAUACCCAGUACGUAAUUUUUGUGAAUGCGAGGCCGUUGGCUGCCAGUUGCACCGACGCCUCC
Small nuclear RNA from Venturia canescens, 135 nucleotides. RefSeq annotates it as U11 spliceosomal RNA. NCBI's taxonomy places the organism in Eukaryota, Metazoa, Arthropoda, Insecta, Hymenoptera, Ichneumonidae. The transcript has a single exon. The record is from RefSeq and is a predicted model, not a curated record.